Molecule: long non-coding RNA, 315 nt
Organism: Solenopsis invicta (red fire ant)
Lineage: Eukaryota; Metazoa; Arthropoda; Insecta; Hymenoptera; Formicidae
Exons: 2
Source: RefSeq, a predicted model, not a curated record
AACACAGAGUAGAACGGCAGGAGCGCCGCAACCUCAGUUCAAAAGAAGCCCGUACUGCUCGUAAAACAGAAAAAAUAGUUGAAUUCCAGGCCUUUAAGGAAGAGCUGUAUGGCCCUGGAAUUGCUGAUUAAGCAAAAAUCGAAAUUAAUUUUGUAACCUCGGCGUUUUCCGACGCAAAUUCGAGGAGCAAACUUCAGACAGCUGCUGUGCCGCCAUGCUCAAGUUUUAAAAAAAAAAAGAAAAAAAAAUUUAAUUAGUUUAAAUAUUAAAUAUUAUCGUAUACUUUGUCAUUCUUCUAUAUAUUUUGCCAUAUUU